CCUACGGGGAGCAGCAGUGAGGAAUAUUGGUCAAUGGACGAGAGUCUGAACCAGCCAAGUAGCGUGAAGGAUGACUGCCCUAUGGGUUGUAAACUUCUUUUAUAUGGGAAUAAAACGUUCCACGUGUGGGAUUUUGUAUGUACCAUAUGAAUAAGGAUCGGCUAACUCCGUGCCAGCAGCCGCGGUAAUACGGAGGAUCCGAGCGUUAUCCGGAUUUAUUGGGUUUAAAGGGAGCGUAGGUGGAUUGUUAAGUCAGUUGUGAAAGUUUGCGGCUCAACCGUAAAAUUGCAGUUGAAACUGGCAGUCUUGAGUACAGUAGAGGUGGGCGGAAUUCGUGGUGUAGCGGUGAAAUGCGUAGAUAUCACGAAGAACUCCGAUUGCGAAGGCAGUUCACUGGACUGCAACUGACACCGAGGCUCGAAAGUGUGGGUAUCAAACAGGAUUAGAUACCCGAGUAGUC
RNAcentral lists this ribosomal RNA (460 nucleotides) under uncultured bacterium. Its description in RNAcentral is "partial 16S ribosomal RNA". It matches the Rfam family "Bacterial small subunit ribosomal RNA", at positions 338 to 795 of the family's 1533-position model. The record is from RNAcentral.